UAUGUUAAUAAUAACAAUUAGUAGGAGUGUAACAUAUAAUAUUUAUUAGUAGUAGUAAAGAAAAUUCGGUAAUGAUGGUAUUAAUUUCUUAUAGUUUGUAAUAUGUGUAUACGACUUAAGAAUAGAAGAGUAAAAAUGUUUAUGAUAGUUUUUCUGUUUUGAUCAGAAUAUCCCUAUUAUAUACAUAAUCCACUAUAUUAUUAUAUUUUAUUAAAUAUAAAUAGUAGGAUAGCUCUUCUGACCUCAUUUAAAAUCGUUUAUGACAUUGAACAUAGCAUUAGAAAAGAGAAAACAGCAUGUUUAUUUUUCUUUUGCAACAUAUAUACUAAUAUGGUCUGGUGUAUAUGAAAGUCACAAGUAGUUGGUUAACUAAAGGGAUGGAGGAUAUAUAUAUUGGAGUAUAAUAAUAAUAGUGAGAUUAUUUAUACAUAUAUAUAUGUGUGCGGAUGGUACUAUGGCGGAUCUAAUUGGUACUAAAUAAUCAUGAAAAAGACUACGUUUAUAUAUAAUAUCAUUGUUUUUUAUUUUGCAAUGGUAUUAUAUAUAAAAGGAACCUUUAUAUAUGCAUUUGUUAAAGAUGCACAUAUGAGGUGGGGAAAUACAAGCACGUGGGGUUGAAUAGGUGCAUGGGUGAGUGGAUGAAUGGGUGAAUGGAUAAAUGGGUUUGGGGGGGUACUAGGGUACAUUGAGGUACAUGUUUGCAGGAACAUGGGGGAUAUGCCCAUGGUCACAGGCAGAGGCGCAUGGGCACCGACACUGAAUCAGACAGUAUAAAUAGUGCAAAAACUGAUACAGAAAACGGCACAGGAGCAGCCAAAUAUUAUGCACUUAGGAAAAUACAGAAAAGUAUUUAAAAAUUCUAAAGUACGUUUUUAAUCAGUUGGUACUUUAGAAAUAUGUCCUAUAGGCACAGGAGCAGCCAAAAUAUUAUGCACUUAGGAAAAUACAGAAAAGUAUUUAAAAAUUCUAAAGUACGUUUUUAAUCAGUUGGUACUUUAGAAAUAUGUCCUUCUAUGGGUAGGGAAUAAGUUGUAAUUUUAAUUAUAAUUUAUUUGGGUUUUAUUAUAUGGAAACAUAUAUAUAAUAAUGAAUUGUAAAUGUAUUAUUUGUUUGUUAAUUUACAUGUUCGCAAUAAUAUUGGAAAGGAAUAAACUGCGUUUUUUUUUUUUUUUUUUUUUUGUGUGUGGUUAAUUAUUUGAAUUUUCUACAUAUAAAUACAUAUACAAUAUAUAUAUAUAUAUAUAUAUUUCAUUAUUAAGUAUAUAAUAUGACAUAUUAUAUGUAAGUUUUGUCUUAGACCAUUUGUUUUACAUUUAGGUGUUAAAGAUUAUUCAAAAGAAUUAACUAUAUUUAUCAUAAAUAUAGUUAAUUCUUUUGAUCUUCAAGUCUUCAGAACCUGGAUAUGGAUUAUAACAUUCUUUAUGUUAUAAGAAGACCGGAUUAUCUCAAGGAUCGAAGACGGGAUUAUCUUAAUAAUCGAAGAUCGGAUUAUUUUUAUAAUCCGCAUGUAUGAAGAUAAUAUAGGUAGAACAUUAUAUAAUUGUUAUUAUAAUAAUGAAAAAAUAAAAAAAAAAAGAAAAAUGAAAAAAAGAAAAGAAAAAAGGAAAAGAAAAAAGGAAAAAUGAAAAGAAAAAAUAAAAGAAAAAAUGAAAAAAAAAAUGAAAAAAAAAAAAAAAAUGAAAAAAAAUGAAAAAAAAAAUGAAAAAAAAAAUAAAAGAAAAAAUAAAAGAAAGAAAAAAAUGAAAAAAAAAAAAAAAAAAAAAUAAAAGAAAAAAAUGAAAAAAAAAAUGAAAAAAAAAAAAUAAAAGAAAAAAAUGAAAAAAAAAAAAUAAAAGAAAAAAUAAAAGAAACUUAUAUAUGUGUAUAAAUAAUUUUUAAUUUAUGCAUAUACAUUUUCAUAUACAUAAAUUAUGCUCUUCUUAUACUUUUUAUUUAUCCUUGUGUUAUAGUGUUGCAUAUACAAAAAAAAAUCAUUUGCCUAACGUAAAGAGGUGAAUAGAUGUGUUUUAUGUUUGAUUAUAUUGUAUUUUAAUUUAAGUAAAUAAUUAAAAUAUAAUAUAUAGAAUAAUGUAUGUUAAUGUGAAAUGUAGUGUAAAUAGUGAUUGUAUAGUUUUAUAUUAUGUUGUGUUUAUUUACUGUUGAAAAUUAAAAGAAAUAUAUAUAUAUGUUUGUCUAAAUAAAUAUUUUGUUAAUAUGUCGUAAGUUUAUAAUUAAAUGUGUGUUACAUGAAUAAAUAUUUUGUUAAUAAGUCUUAAGUUUAUAAUUAAAUGUGUGUUACAUGAAAAUGAAUAUUUUGUUAAUAAGUCGUAAGUUUAUAAUUAAAUGUGUGUUACAUGAAAAUGAAUAUUUUGUUAAUAAGUCGUAAGUUUAUAAUUAAAUGUGUGUUACAUGAAAAUGAAUAUUUUGUUAAUAAGUCGUAAGUUUAUAAUUAAAUGUGUGUUACAUGAAAAUGAAUAUUUUGUUAAUAAGUCGUAAGUUUAUAAUUAAAUGUGUGUUACAUGAAUAAAUAUUUUUUGAUAAGACUUAAAUUUAUAAUCAAAUGUGUGUUACGUGAAUAAAUAUUUUUUGAUAAGACUUAAAUUUAUAAUCAAAUGUGUGUUACAUGAAUAAAUAUUUUUUGAUAAGACUUAAAUAUAUAAUCAAAUGUGUGUUACGUGAAUAAAUAUUUUUUUAAUAAGACUUAAAUUUAUAAUUAAAUGUGUGUGUUACAUGAAUAAAUAUGUGCAGCUAUACAAGUAAAAAUGGCGCUAUAUUAUUAUAUUAAUAAUGAUAUAUUGAAGAUUAAAUGAAGAUAUUGCGGAGGAAGAAGGACAAGACAAAUAAAUAAAUGUAUAUAUUUCCAUAUUUAUAUGUGCAGACAUAGAUAUUGAUAUAUAUUGAAGAAGGAUAGAUUUUUGAAUAAAUGAAAAUCUAUGAAGAAAUAUAUUUGUGUAUAUAAACCUUGGAGUAUAAUAUAUUCUAUUGGUACAUGAAAAUUUAUAACUUUUUUUUUUUUUUUUUUACUUUUUUAUGUGUGAAUAUAUAUAUAUUAACAGUAAUAAUUUUAUUAUAACUCUUAAUAAGAUUUAUUAAGAAUUUUUUUUUCCUAUUACAUAUGAUAUGUUUAUUUUUAUUUUAUUCUAAUUUUUUAUUUUUUUUUUAAUUUUUUUUUUUUAUUUUUUAUAAUUAACC
Molecule: small RNA, 3171 nt
Filed under: Plasmodium praefalciparum (nom. ined.)
Lineage: Eukaryota; Apicomplexa; Aconoidasida; Haemosporida; Plasmodiidae
Description: Plasmodium sp. gorilla clade G1 ncRNA
Source: RNAcentral